This 408-nucleotide ribosomal RNA is filed under the name uncultured rumen bacterium. RNAcentral describes it as "bacterial SSU rRNA". It matches the Rfam family "Bacterial small subunit ribosomal RNA", at positions 354 to 776 of the family's 1533-position model. The record is from RNAcentral.
GUGGGGAAUAUUGGGCAAUGGGCGAAAGCCUGACCCAGCGACGCCGCGUGAGGGAAGAAGGUCUUCGGAUUGUAAACCUCUUUCAGCAAGGAAGAAGAAAGUGACGGUACUUGCAGAAGAAGCCACGGCUAACUACGUGCCAGCAGCCGCGGUAAUACGUAGGUGGCGAGCGUUAUCCGGAAUUACUGGGUGUAAAGGGUGUGUAGGCGGGGCGCCAAGUCAGAUGUGAAAAUUACGGGCUCAACCCGUAACCUGCGUCUGAAACUGGUGCUCUUGAGAGUGGGAGAGGUAAACGGAAUUCCUGGUGUAGCGGUGAAAUGCGUAGAUAUCAGGAGGAACACCGGUGGCGAAGGCGGUUUACUGGACCACAACUGACGCUGAGACACGAAAGCGUGGGGAGCAAACAGG